This 72-nucleotide transfer RNA is filed under the name Dipodomys ordii (Ord's kangaroo rat). It matches the Rfam family "tRNA". Rfam says of the family: Transfer RNA (tRNA) molecules are approximately 80 nucleotides in length. Their secondary structure includes four short double-helical elements and three loops (D, anti-codon, and T loops). The record is from Rfam by way of RNAcentral. Lineage: Eukaryota; Metazoa; Chordata; Mammalia; Rodentia; Heteromyidae.
GGGGAUUUAGCUCAAUAGAAGACCACUUGCCUAGCAAGCAAAAAGCCCUGAGUUUAGAUCUCAGAAUUGCAA